RNAcentral lists this ribosomal RNA (24 nucleotides) under Sporobolomyces roseus. Its description in RNAcentral is "partial 26S ribosomal RNA". The record is from RNAcentral. Lineage: Eukaryota; Fungi; Basidiomycota; Microbotryomycetes; Sporidiobolales; Sporidiobolaceae.
UUAGACCUCAAAUCAGGCAGAUCC